This 253-nucleotide ribosomal RNA is filed under the name uncultured bacterium. Its description in RNAcentral is "partial 16S ribosomal RNA". It matches the Rfam family "Bacterial small subunit ribosomal RNA", at positions 524 to 776 of the family's 1533-position model. The record is from RNAcentral.
UACGGGGGGGGCAAGCGUUGUUCGGAAUUACUGGGCGUAAAGGGCUCGUAGGCGGCCAACUAAGUCAGACGUGAAAUCCCUCGGCUUAACCGGGGAACUGCGUCUGAUACUGGAUGGCUUGAAUCCGGGAGAGGGGGGUGGAAUUCCAGGUGUAGCGGUGAAAUGCGUAGAUAUCUGGAGGAACACCGGUGGCGAAGGCGGUGUCCUGGACCAAUACUGACACUGAGGAGCGAAAGCCAGGGGAGCAAACGGG